ACGAAUGCAGUAUUAUCCAAUGAACAGUCACACAACAGCACAUGGAAGCAGAAGUCUGUUGUAGUGCCUAUGGACAAUCCGAAAUGUUACCCAGAUAGUGCCAUAAGGUGUACAGUUAAAUAGUGCCAUACAGUACCCAGAUAGCACCCUACAGUGUACAGAUAAAUAGUGCCAUAACGUGUAAAGAUAAAUGGUGCCAUACAGUAUACAGAUAAAUGGUGCCAUACAGUAUACAGAUAAAUGGUGCCAUAAGGUGUUGUAACGUCUGUAGGUAGGGACAGACAGUGAGCCCUAAUCUAGAACCCAGCCUGCAUUCCCUACCUACUUGCAGUGCAAGUCCUAGGUGGCAAGACCGCAACUGUUCGACAGUCCCUUUGCUACUAAGGUGCAGAGACAUACAAACACCUAGAGACAAACGACACAAAGACACAGUCGUACGUAAAUGGGUCAGAACCAAGAGGACAAUGCAGUACAAAACGAGAGACAGAUAAUUAGUGCCAUACAAUACCCAGAUAGUGCUAUACAGUGUACAGAUGAAUAGUGCCAUAAAAUGCCUAAAUAGUGUCAUACAGUGUAUAGAUAGUGUCAUACAAUGGCCAGGUAGUGUUAUACUGUGUACAGAUAAAUAGUGUCAUACAGUGUACUGAUAAAAAAAAUGCAAUAAAAAUGCCAGAUAGUGUUAUACGGUGUACAGAUAAAUAG
Long non-coding RNA from Bufo bufo (common toad), 702 nucleotides. RefSeq lists it as uncharacterized. The transcript is spliced from 3 exons. The record is from RefSeq and is a predicted model, not a curated record. NCBI's taxonomy places the organism in Eukaryota, Metazoa, Chordata, Amphibia, Anura, Bufonidae.